GUGGAUUAGAUACCCUGGUAGUCCAUGCCGUAAACGAUGGGUGCUAGGUGUCGCGGGCAUUGACCCCUGCGGUGCCGAAGCUAACGCAUUAAGCACCCCGCCUGGGGAGUACGGCCGCAAGGCUAAAACUCAAAGGAAUUGACGGGGGCCCGCACAAGCGGUGGAGCAUGUGGUUUAAUUCGAUGCAACGCGAAGAACCUUACCUGGGCUAGAAAACGCGAGAGCCUGGCGGAAACGUCGGGGUGCCCUUCGGGGAACUCGUGGUUAGGUGCUGCAUGGCUGUCGUCAACU
Molecule: ribosomal RNA, 291 nt
Filed under: uncultured bacterium
Lineage: Bacteria
Description: partial 16S ribosomal RNA
Rfam family: Bacterial small subunit ribosomal RNA
Source: RNAcentral